AAGUCGUAACAAGGUUUCCGUAGGUGAACCUGCGGAAGGAUCAUUACAUGAUAUCACAGGGAGUUGGUACCACGAAAGUGCACCAACUCUGUCUGCAUAUUAUACCCAUGAUUUUGCGUACCAUUUGUUUCCUUGGUGGGCUUGCCCACCAAUAGGACACCAAACAACCCUUUGUAAUUGCAGUCAGCGUCAGAAAACUAUAAUAAUUACAACUUUUAACAACGGAUCUCUUGGUUCUG
Molecule: unclassified non-coding RNA, 239 nt
Filed under: fungal sp.
Lineage: Eukaryota; Fungi
Also listed under: 1 other name
Description: partial internal transcribed spacer region
Rfam family: Eukaryotic small subunit ribosomal RNA (bases 1-46)
Source: RNAcentral